AGUCGCAUGGCUCAGUUGGUUAGAGUGUCCGCUUCACAAAUCACAUCCUGGUUUUGAACUGGGAUUUUGGAAGCCGCGGAAGGUCGAGGGUUCGAUCCCCUCUGUGACUA
Cryptococcus wingfieldii CBS 7118 is the source of this 110-nucleotide non-coding RNA. NCBI's taxonomy places the organism in Eukaryota, Fungi, Basidiomycota, Tremellomycetes, Tremellales, Cryptococcaceae. The record is from the annotation of a RefSeq genome assembly.